Molecule: non-coding RNA, 24 nt
Filed under: Cricetulus griseus (Chinese hamster)
Lineage: Eukaryota; Metazoa; Chordata; Mammalia; Rodentia; Cricetidae
Source: RNAcentral
UGGAGUGAUGGGAUUCUGAGCUGU